Long non-coding RNA from Melitaea cinxia (Glanville fritillary), 137 nucleotides. RefSeq lists it as uncharacterized. The transcript is spliced from 3 exons. The record is from RefSeq and is a predicted model, not a curated record. NCBI's taxonomy places the organism in Eukaryota, Metazoa, Arthropoda, Insecta, Lepidoptera, Nymphalidae.
UUUAUAGUCAGAGGUGUACACUAAUAUGUCGCGGCACUUUUGAAUUGUUGAGUUUUAACGAGAUUUUUACUCAAAAAACAGCAGAAGACAAUGAAUCGACAUUAAGCUCUUACGAAUCUCAACGAUUUCCCUUCGAG